This 162-nucleotide ribosomal RNA is filed under the name Escherichia coli. Its description in RNAcentral is "partial 23S ribosomal RNA". It matches the Rfam family "Bacterial large subunit ribosomal RNA", at positions 1 to 163 of the family's 2925-position model. Lineage: Bacteria; Pseudomonadati; Pseudomonadota; Gammaproteobacteria; Enterobacterales; Enterobacteriaceae. The record is from RNAcentral. RNAcentral also lists the same sequence under 1 other name.
GGUUAAGCGACUAAGCGUACACGGUGGAUGCCCUGGCAGUCAGAGGCGAUGAAGGACGUGCUAAUCUGCGAUAAGCGUCGGUAAGGUGAUAUGAACCGUUAUAACCGGCGAUUUCCGAAUGGGGAAACCCAGUGUGAUUCGUCACACUAUCAUUAACUGAAU